GCUAAGUGCGUGCCAGAGGCGUGGGUAGUGGUGUGGGGGGGCGCGUUGUGCUGAUUGACUGUGCGGAAAGGGUGCGGUGGCGGCCGUGUAGUGCAGGAGUGAAUGCCCCGGGGUCAACCUGGGAACGGCGCUUGGUACGGCGAGGCUGGAGUUCGGGAGAGGAGAGUGGAAUUCCCAGUGUAGAGGUGAAAUUCGUAGAUAUUGGGAAGAACACCGGUGGCGAAGGCGGCUCUCUGGACCGAGACUGACGCUGAGGCGCGAAAGCGUGGGGAGCAAACAGGAUUAGAUACCCCAGUAGUC
RNAcentral lists this ribosomal RNA (300 nucleotides) under uncultured Bacillus sp. RNAcentral's name for it is "bacterial SSU rRNA". It matches the Rfam family "Bacterial small subunit ribosomal RNA", at positions 496 to 795 of the family's 1533-position model. The record is from RNAcentral. Lineage: Bacteria; Bacillati; Bacillota; Bacilli; Caryophanales; Bacillaceae.